CCGGCACGGGUGAGUAACACGUAUCCAACCUGCCGUCUACUCUUGGACAGCCUUCUGAAAGGAAGAUUAAUACAAGAUGGCAUCAUGAGUUCACAUGUUCACAUGAUUAAAGGUAUUCCGGUAGACGAUGGGGAUGCGUUCAUUAGAUAGUAGGCGGGGUAACGGCCCACCUAGUCUUCGAUGGAUAGGGGUUCUGAGAGGAAGGUCCCCCACAUUGGAACUGAGACACGGUCCAA
RNAcentral lists this ribosomal RNA (236 nucleotides) under uncultured bacterium. RNAcentral's name for it is "partial 16S ribosomal RNA". It matches the Rfam family "Bacterial small subunit ribosomal RNA", at positions 100 to 334 of the family's 1533-position model. The record is from RNAcentral.